RNAcentral lists this ribosomal RNA (491 nucleotides) under uncultured bacterium. RNAcentral describes it as "bacterial SSU rRNA". It matches the Rfam family "Bacterial small subunit ribosomal RNA", at positions 34 to 520 of the family's 1533-position model. The record is from RNAcentral.
CGCUGGCGGAAUGCUUUACACAUGCAAGUCGAACGGCAGCACGGACUUCGGUCUGGUGGCGAGUGGCGAACGGGUGAGUAACAUAUCGGAACGUAUCCAAUAAUGGGGGAUAACUAAUCGAAAGGUUGGCUAAUACCGCAUACGCCCUACGGGGGAAAGCAGGGGAUCUUCGGACCUUGCGUUAAUGGAGCGGCCGAUAUCUGAUUAGCUAGUUGGUGGGGUAAAGGCCUACCAAGGCGACGAUCAGUAGCUGGUCUGAGAGGACGACCAGCCACACUGGAACUGAGACACNGNCCAAACUUCUACGGGAGGCAGCAGUGGGGAAUUUUGGACAAUGGGCGCAAGCCUGAUCCAGCCAUUCCGCGUGAGUGAAGAAGGCCUUCGGGUUGUAAAGCUCUUUCGCAAGGGAAGAAAACUUACCUUCUAAUAAAGGGUGAGGGUGACGGUACCUUGAUAAGAAGCACCGGCUAACUACGUGCCAGCAGCCGCGG